RNAcentral lists this ribosomal RNA (253 nucleotides) under uncultured bacterium. RNAcentral describes it as "partial 16S ribosomal RNA". It matches the Rfam family "Bacterial small subunit ribosomal RNA", at positions 524 to 776 of the family's 1533-position model. The record is from RNAcentral.
UACGAAGGGGGCUAGCGUUGCUCGGAAUCACUGGGCGUAAAGGGUGCGUAGGCGGGUCUUUAAGUCGGGGGUGAAAGCCUGUGGCUCAACCACAGAAUUGCCUUCGAUACUGUUUGGCUUGAGACCGGAAGAGGUAAGUGGAACUGCGAGUGUAGAGGUGAAAUUCGUAGAUAUUCGCAAGAAUACCAGUGGCGAAGGCGGCUUACUGGUCCGGUUCUGACGCUGAGGCGCGAAAGCGUGGGGAGCAAACAGG